RNAcentral lists this long non-coding RNA (202 nucleotides) under Manihot esculenta (cassava). Its description in RNAcentral is "long non-coding RNA (MESC_LNC009898)". The record is from RNAcentral. Lineage: Eukaryota; Viridiplantae; Streptophyta; Magnoliopsida; Malpighiales; Euphorbiaceae.
GGCCUACGAAGUUGGUAGGCCCACGGAUUGGCCAAGUGAUCCUCGGCUGGGCAGGCAGUGUGCGAGGAUGAGGAGCACGCCCGUGCACAGUUACACGGCCAGGAGGCGCCACAGUGUCAGUGGUAGGCCUACGGCUACGGUUGGCCUACGGAUGAAGGAAGCUGGCAGACGGUGCGGGCCAAUUGUCUGGAAGACGCGGGAG